GAGGAUAUGUGCCUCGGGGUAUAGAUGAGAGAGAAUUAGUAUCAGCAAUAGUUGAUGUUCAAACCAUUGCAAAUAGUGGCUUGGAAUUGGCUCGAGCAGGGAAUAUAGAAUUAAAUAUAAAAUUUACAUAUUGUAAUUUGAAUUUUAAAGUAAUUUUUGCAUUUCGGAUUUUUUUGAAUUAUCUCUCGCAGGUACAUAUCCCGAAGCACAGAAACAUGCAUCAAUAUAUCAGUCGAUAAUGCAGAGGCUUCACCAAGCCUUACAUCGAACUCAUGAAGACCUUCAUGAUGGACGAGAAGUACCUCAAUUAGUAUACACACGUCAACAACGACACAGACGAGGACGACGCAGAAACGACAAUGAAGCUGGGCCUUCCCAACGUGUUGACGAUGGAGCUGGACCGUCACAACCACAAACGCAACCGGAUCAUGAACUCAUCGAAGGUCGGGAUAGAGGAGGCCGAAGACAAAGGAGGAGGAGAAGAGUUCUUGGAUGUAUGUAAGCUAAUUGGUAUUGUUAUAUAAAUUACAAUCCUAUUUUGAUAUGUACAUUACAAACGUAUUUCGGGACAAUAGAUGGUUUUUGGAUUUGUAGCUGAGAUUGUGGUGUGACUUAUUAGAUUUGUAAGUGGGUUUGUGGCGUGAUUUGUUGGAUU
This is a long non-coding RNA of Asparagus officinalis (garden asparagus), 655 nucleotides long. RefSeq lists it as uncharacterized. The record is from RefSeq and is a predicted model, not a curated record. NCBI's taxonomy places the organism in Eukaryota, Viridiplantae, Streptophyta, Magnoliopsida, Asparagales, Asparagaceae. The transcript has 2 exons.